RNAcentral lists this ribosomal RNA (197 nucleotides) under uncultured bacterium. RNAcentral's name for it is "partial 16S ribosomal RNA". It matches the Rfam family "Bacterial small subunit ribosomal RNA", at positions 335 to 524 of the family's 1533-position model. The record is from RNAcentral.
ACUCCUACGGGAGGCAGCAAUGGGGAAUAUUGGACAAUGGGCGAAAGCCUGAUCCAGCCAUGCCGCGUGUGUGAAGAAGGUCUUCCGAUUGUAAAGCGCUUUAAGUUGGGAGGACGGGCAGUAAGCAAAUCCCUUGCUGUUAUGACGUUUUCGACAGAAGAAGCCCCGGCUAACUUCGUGCCAGCAGCCGCGGUAAU